AGCAGCCGCGGUAAUUCCAGCUCCAAUAGCGUAUAUUAAAGUUGUUGCAGUUAAAAAGCUCGUAGUUGAAUUUCGAGAUUGACACAUCGGUCGUGCCUUAAGGGGUAUGAACUGGUGUAGUCAAUUUCUCACCUUCUGGAGAACCGCGAUGUCCUUAAUUGGGUGCCGCGGGGAACCAGGACCUUUACUUUGAAAAAAUUAGAGUGUUUAAAGCAGGCAUUUUGCUUGAAUACAUUAGCAUGGAAUAAUAAAAUAGGACGGAUGAUUCUAUUUUGUUGGUUUCUAGGACCACCGUAAUGAUUAAUAGGGAUAGGUUGGGGGCAUUAGUAUUCAAUUGUCAGAGGUGAAAUUCUUGGAUUUAUUGAAGACUAACUACUGCGAAAGCAUUUGCCAAGGAUGUUUUCAUUAAUCAAGAACGAAGUUAGGGAUCGAAGACGAUCAGAUACCGUCGUAGUCUUAACCAUAAACUAUAGCCGACUAGGGAUCGGAUGAUGUUAAUUUUUAUGUACUUCAUUCGGCG
This 520-nucleotide ribosomal RNA is filed under the name uncultured Entrophospora. RNAcentral's name for it is "SSU rRNA". It matches the Rfam family "Eukaryotic small subunit ribosomal RNA", at positions 569 to 1085 of the family's 1831-position model. Lineage: Eukaryota; Fungi; Glomeromycota; Glomeromycetes; Entrophosporales; Entrophosporaceae. The record is from RNAcentral.